GAUGAACGCUGGCGGCGUGCCUAAUACAUGCAAGUCGAGCGAACAGACGCGGCUCUUGCUCCUCUGUCGUUAGCGGCGGACGGGUGAGUAACACGUGUAUAACCUACCUAUCAGACUGGGAUCACUUCGGGACACCGGCGCUAAUACCGUAUAAUAUCUUGCACCGCAUGGUUCAAUAGUGAAAUACGGUUUUGCUGUCUCUUAUAGCUGGUUCCGCGCGGCAUUAGCUAGUUGGUAAGGUAACGGCUUACCAAGGCGACGAUGCGUAGCCGACCUGAGAGGGGGAUAGGCCACACUGGAAGUGAGACACGGUCCAGAGGCCUAAGGGAGGCAGCAGUAGGGAAUGUGAGGCAAUGGGCGAAAGCAUGACGGAGCAACGCCGAGUGAGAGAUGAAGGUCUUCGGAUCGGAAAACUCUGUUAUGAGGGAAGAACAAAUGUGGAAGGAACUAUGCACGUCGUGACGGUACCGAAUCAGAAAGCAACGGCUAACUACGUG
RNAcentral lists this ribosomal RNA (497 nucleotides) under uncultured bacterium. RNAcentral describes it as "partial 16S ribosomal RNA". It matches the Rfam family "Bacterial small subunit ribosomal RNA", at positions 28 to 507 of the family's 1533-position model. The record is from RNAcentral.